CCUAUACUCUGUAUCUUUAGGUAUUUAAAUAUAAUUAUAACUUUUGUUGGUUAACCAACCAAAUACAAAACCACCUCGAUCAGUCACUGAACGACCUGACUUUAACCUACAUUAUUUGAUCGUGUAAUGUUUUCAUCUACCCUCAACUGGCUUAAGUAGCAAUAUGAGGGUAGAUUUUGUUUAUCUUUAUUUAAAUACCUAAAGAUACAGACUAUAGAU
Cydia amplana is the source of this 219-nucleotide long non-coding RNA. RefSeq lists it as uncharacterized. The record is from RefSeq and is a predicted model, not a curated record. The transcript is spliced from 2 exons. NCBI's taxonomy places the organism in Eukaryota, Metazoa, Arthropoda, Insecta, Lepidoptera, Tortricidae.